This 1424-nucleotide long non-coding RNA is filed under the name Cyclopterus lumpus (lumpfish). Its description in RNAcentral is "lncRNA (ENSCLMG00005003417.1)". The record is from RNAcentral. Lineage: Eukaryota; Metazoa; Chordata; Actinopteri; Perciformes; Cyclopteridae.
GUUUCAACAGACCCCAGCAAGGUUGAGAGCAUCACCAACAUGGCGAGCACUGAUCUCAUGGAGCCUGAUGGCGUGACUCCGUCCCCGAAGCGCAUACGGUCCUUCUUAGGGAUGGUAAAUUACUAUCAACACUUCAUGCCCGGUUACUCUGCAAUGGCCAAGCCGCUGUUUGACCUGUUGAAAGGUGCGAAGAGAAGAGGUAAACAACACAAAAACAAACUGUCGAGCAGGAAGCUGUAUGCGGCUGAUUGGACACCGGAGCAGGGACAGGCUUUUGAAAGUCUGAAAGCUUCACUGGUCCAUAGUGUUGUCUUGGCUCACCCCGAUUUCAAUCGUCCCUUUAUGCUGUCAACUGAUGCGUCCUUGGAUGGCAUAGGUGCGGUUCUGUCCCAAAUUCAGGAGGGUGAGGCACGAGCCAGGCCCAUUGCUUUUGCCGGCAAGUCGUUAUCUCGGUCCCAAAAGAACUACCCAGCUCAUCGGUUGGAGUUUCUAGCCUUGAAAUGGUCAGUCUGCGAAAAGUUCAGUCACUGGCUGAAAGGCCACAAAUUCACUGUCUGGACAGAUAACAACCCGUUGACUCACAUCCUGACAAAGCCGAAGCUAGAUUGUUGUGAGCAACGCUGGGUUGCCAAGUUGGCGAGUUACGACUUUGAUAUCAAGUAUGUUCCGGGCCCACAGAACAUUGUGGCUGAUGCCCUGAGCCGUGUGCCGUUUGUCAAGGCAAGUGUUGGUCACAGGCUGCUCACUGAACCCUAUGCGGGUCUCCUCACAGAAGUCAAAGACAUGUCGAGGUUCUCUGUCCAAAAUGCCUUUCGGUCAUCCAGUCAUGACAGAGAGCCCUCCCCUUUGAGUAACAAUGUCCAGUCUGCAUGCAGUCCACUGCGCAUGCAAACUCAGUCUGUUGCAAAGGAGGACGUGUCCGCUGUACUACAGUCACACAUUGAGUGGGAUGCUGGUCCGAGGGCCCGUGCUGUUGAGAUGUUGCAGCACUUACCUCAGUUGGUUCCGCCUGGACAAGACGCCUUACCUGCUUACACUGUGAAGGACCUCUGUGAUAAGCAGUUGGAAGAUAGAACCCUCUCUUGUGUUCUGUCCUAUGUUGAGAGACAUCGGAGGCCUUCUAGAAGGGAACGAUUCAAUGAGUCUGUCCUGGUCACAAGAUACCUGAAGCACUGGGAUAGGCUGACUGUGAAGGAGGGUGUACUGUACAGGAUUUCAAGAGACCAGAAGACCAAAGAAAAGCGUUUUCAAUACGUUGUCCCUGACUCCCUGAAGACUGAGGUUCUGCAGGGGAUUCACGAUAGGGCCGGGCAUCAAGCUCAGUCCAGGAGCCUCAGUUUGGCAAGACAAAGGUUUUUCUGGCCAAACCUCGACAGGGAUGUAAGAGACUAUGUUCGUCAUUGUCAGCGAUGCAUCGUUAGCAA